Molecule: long non-coding RNA, 588 nt
Organism: Nilaparvata lugens (brown planthopper)
Lineage: Eukaryota; Metazoa; Arthropoda; Insecta; Hemiptera; Delphacidae
Exons: 3
Source: RefSeq, a predicted model, not a curated record
CACUACUGCAAAUAAGUAUUUUACAGAUAUCAAAGAGAGCGCUGAAAAGAAUGAAGUUUUUGAUCCUUGAGGUGUCCUUAUGCGCGUCUCUCCUCUAGGAAAUACUGGAAUGAAGUGCAUCUAACGGGUGAACCUAUUGUACUGCAUCAUAAAAGCGGAAGAAGGAGGUGAAAUCAACUUGCCGACUGUUUAGCUGUGGUAAAAGCUAUCAAAUCCAUGAAUCCAGGAACCUAUUCAAUUCUCAAGAACAUCUCUGUCAUAAUGUGGUCGGACCCGUUCACCAAGGAAGGUCGCAGUAAUCAAAGCAUUCAUUUUACUCCUAUUAUCAAGUAAUUGAAAAGCUUUGAGGAUCGAAAUAAUUUCUUGAAAUAUGUUAACUAUUUCAUGAUUCAAUGUGAUUUCUUGACUAUUGACAUUUUAAAUUAUGGGACAUCAUGCAAUUCUAGGCAUUUGCCUGAUGCAAAUGGUUGAGCAUUGCCCAUAUAUUGUGAUGAAGAAAAAUUUGUUUCAAAUCACUUCAAUGAAUAUUAAGAUUCAAGCAUUCUGAUUAUACAGAUUCAAGCAUGGGAAGCGGACAAAUUCUGACAU